GGUUUGGUUCCCAACUAUCUGCAUCUUCCCCUCCUAUACUCUUCCAUGUGGCCUCCUCUUUAUUAACUGUGGAAAGUCUAUUCUGCAAGUCUUUGAGGUAACAGAUGUAGCUGUUAUCUUGGUGUGUUUAAGGGACCAGAUUUGGUUGCAGUAUUGACAAUUAAAGUGAACUUCUGACAGCCUUCAAGGACAACAAGAAACAGAGGCACAAUGCCUCACCAAUCCUUUUGAGUUCAUUGUCUUUUUCACCAUUUCUGAGGGCCAUUGCAGUUCUAUUGCCAGAAGCAGGAACCAAAGGAGACCUCUGAAAGCCCCGGACAAUUUCAGGUGACCAGAAUGAGACCUGCUAGGAUACCUCACUCCAGACAAGAUCCUACAAAAAGUGGCAGAAGUCAACAAAGGGUGAGAAUUCUCACCAAAGUCAUUUCUCCCAGAUCUCUGUCUGUAGGAAGGGUUUUUUUAAAGCCUGGUUUACUAUCUUGCAAUCCUCCAGCUGUGACUUGAGUAAUGUUGUUACUUCCAAGGAUCCGUCUGACAUUAGCUGACUUUAUGAAGCAUAAGCAUCAAGAUGAAAGACAAGACUUUUAAAAUAAAA
This is a long non-coding RNA of Zalophus californianus (California sea lion), 595 nucleotides long. RefSeq lists it as uncharacterized. NCBI's taxonomy places the organism in Eukaryota, Metazoa, Chordata, Mammalia, Carnivora, Otariidae. The transcript is spliced from 5 exons. The record is from RefSeq and is a predicted model, not a curated record.